This is a long non-coding RNA of Diceros bicornis minor, 4162 nucleotides long. RefSeq lists it as uncharacterized. Lineage: Eukaryota; Metazoa; Chordata; Mammalia; Perissodactyla; Rhinocerotidae. The transcript is spliced from 2 exons. The record is from RefSeq and is a predicted model, not a curated record.
CCUACCAAAUAAAAAUAUUAUACUUCAUGGUUUCAGAUUUUAAACACCAAUUAAAAUCUCCAAAUGGACAUGUGCAAUGACAGAAGUGAACUAACUCAGGUAGUGUUUCUUCUUCUUUACAAAUGUUGGGCUGUCAUCGUCUAUUUUGAACUUACUCUUUAAAUGCUGGCAUAUGUCAUACUCCAGGGUUUUGGAAAAAUAAGCUAUGAGCUGAGAGAGCUUCCACAGUUUUAAACUGUGAAAAAUUUACCCUUGAAAUGAGUAUGGGUAGCUGAAUCCAUACAUGUUGGGACUGACUACUAAUGGAAGUUCUCUGAAUUAACUUCCUUGUAGAAUACAAUGUUUCUUAAAGGAUAAGUUAUGAAAAGCAUGCUAAUUUGAAGUUUACAUAUAUAUUAUUAAAACUCAACAAUAACCACAGCAAUGGUUUGGCACUUAGACCAACAAAAGAUUUUUUUACUGACGUUAUUGUUAUUUAGAUUUGCCAAGGCAUGGUGAUAAUAAAAGCAGAUCAAAUAGGAGUGGGUUUCAUGAUCACUUCUCAGCUCUCCCCAGGGAAUGCCUGCAGCUGGGCUGGAUGCCCCCACUGCCCUACUCUUGGCCCACCACUGCAUCUUGGUCACCACACACAUGGACUAUCUUCUGUACUUUAUAUGGAUUUUUUCUGCGUUGUCACUUCUGCUUUCUUGUAGUUUCUGUUUCCUCAUAACAGUAGCUCACAUGAGAUCCUUCCAGCUGUUCUCGCUGUCCUGUUCAACUCCACCGUUUCCUUUCUCAAUCUCCCAGAAAUACCUAGCUCAAAUCCCUACAACAGAGAUUCUUAUCUGACCAACUCAUCGUUUCUGGAGCAGACCAUGACACAGCUUUUGGCUAAUCUGUGCAUUGACACUAUUGGGUCAGGGACAUACUCUAGUAACUAGAAGAGAGUAGGGUCACCUGACUCAAAUCGUGGCUGCCUAGAAGGGGCUCUGGGUGGUGUAGAAUUGGGGGUUGGCAAAUGUAAUGCCAAGAAAGGUUAAAUGCACUUAGAAAUUCGUAAAGGCAAAAUAAGAAUUCUUUCAUAGUAUAGAGGAAGGAGCAUUGGAUGCAGAGUCAGGUGAAUCUGGGUUUAAAUCUCCUCUCUGGUGCUCAAGUCAAUAUUUUCUCAUCCUUAGUUUGCUUAGAGUGUAACAGGUAUAUUAUUUAGAAAGAGAAUACAAAUGAUAGAACUCUCAGUAACAGAAAUGGCUGAAACGAGUGAGAGCUUAUCCCUCUACCUCCAUAACAAGUCCAUCUGUGGGUGGCCGCUGGCACUGGUUCAAGGCCAGCUUCUCAAAGUCUCUUGGCUUUUCUCCUAUGCUUGUGGCAUCACAGUUGCAUGAUGGCUCUUGUAGCCAUAGAUCCUGCCCCUUUCAAGGUAGAGAGGAAGAGAAAGGGGUAAUAGCCCCAAGUUCAAGGCUCUUCUCGGGAAAAGCAAAAGGCUUCCCAGAACCCCCAACAGAUUUCCACCGAUGUCUCAUUGGCCAGGACAGUGUACACAGCCAUCCCUGGCCACGGGGUAGGCUAGGACAGGGGGUGUUUGGGUGGGGCUGGACACAUGGCUUCCCAGAACAGAACUGAGGCUCUGCUAGCAGAAACAAAGGAGAGGGAAUGGAUAUUAGGGAGGUGUGGGGUGGAGUGGUGUCACAAGGCAUCAAUUUUAUCUGAUCUGUUUCCUUCUAGGGGGGUAAUGAGGAUAAAACAUAUGUGAAAUGUGCAAUGGGGCCCUUUUCGAAAUGAAAACAUGCAACUGCCCUGCCUGAGCACUCUAUUUUAUAUGCCUGUUUUCUUAAAGACAGACCUUUUUUUCCCUACUUUACCUUGAGAACUACCAAACGAAACUGAAUAUGGCAUGACUCUGCCUACGCCCCAACCUCGUCUCUCCCUACCAUCCCCUCUGCUGCUCGCCACCUCCCUCUGACAGCAUCAACCUCCUUCCAAGGUCCGUGAGUUCACCAAGACUCCUCACCUGAGGGCCUUUGCUUUUGCAAUUUUCCUUGCUUGGAACAGACUUCCUUCUUUCUGCCACCUCUUCAGAGAAGUCCACUCUGAUUUCCAAACAAAGUGAAAAAUCCCCCUGCUGUUCCUUCUGAGCACCGAGCACACUCUUCAUUUCAGUAUAGUCUAUGAAUUUGCAUUUAUCUGUUUAAGAGGCAGCCUGGUGUAACAUCAAAGGGCAUGGGUUCUAGAGCCAGAGCAUCUGCAUUUAAGCCCUUCCUAGCUGUGUGGUCCUGGGCAGGUUAUUUUAAUGUCUUGGUGCCUCUGUUUCCUCAUCUGUCAAAUGGGGAUAUUAAUAUGUAGGAGUGGAAGAAAUUUUCCUCUACCCUUCUAGGUUCUUCUGGCUGGUCUAAGAAUUAAAUUCCCAUGCGAUAGAAUAACAGAAGAAAAUCAAACAAGUUUAAUAACAUGUAUCCAUGGGAGAAACCCAGGAAAACUGAGUAACUCACCAAAACGGCUGAAGCCACCACCUUAAAUACCAUCUUCAGCUAAAGACAAAGAAGGUUGUUGGGGGUAGUGGUUUGGGACUUCAAAGGGGAGGCAGGCAAUUCAUAUGGAGAUGGAAAAGCAAAUGUUUGAUAAACAAAUGUUUGCCAGGCCUUGCAAAGACAGUGAGACAUGGGGAGGACUUUGAUCAAAUGGGCCUUGCUCAGUUCCUCCCCAUCUACCACACCUAGUUCAUACUAUACUAUAGUUAUCUAUGGUGAUAGCUCCUUCCCAGAACAGGCCUUCUAUCUAAAAUUCUUUUAGACAGUUAGUGGGGAAGUCAAAGUUUCUUCCUGAGUCUUUUUUUCUUAAAAAUAAUCAAGCCAGGGGCCAGCCCAGUGGCAUAGUGGUUAAGUUCACACACUCCACUUUGGCGUUCCGGGGUUCAUAGGUUCGGAUCCCAGGCACAGACCUACACACCAGUCAUCAAGCCACACUGUGGCAGCGACCCACAUACAAAAUAGAGGAAGACUGGCACAGCUGUUAGCUCAGGGACAAUCUUCUUCAAGCAAAAAAAAAAAAAAAAAAUCAAGCCAAAGAGACACAUUUUGGAGUGGCAAAUUCUGCUUCCCUACAAAUAUUACCUACCUCAUGGGAUGGUGAGGAGGAUUAAAAGCGUUAAUAUUUGUAAGGUGCUUAGAACAGCGUGCUGUGCAUAGCAGGGACUAUGUGAGUGUUAAAUAAAUAAAAGAAAGGACGUAUGUUUCCUCCACCAUACUGUAUGCUCUAUGCAGAUGGUGACCAUAGCUGUUCUUACACUGCAGUGGCUAGCACAGUGCCAGAGCACGUCAUCAUUGUUGUUCUCAUUGCCGUUGUUUUUCACCUAGGGAGUAUUAAAUAUUUGUUCAAUGAAUGAAUACAUAAAUGAAUAACCAAGUGAUGUCCUGAAUGGGGGAGGGGAGGAGCAGAAUAACAUGGCCACCAAAACUAGCACAAUGUCACAGCAUAGGUUUCUGGGGUCUGUUAGAACUGAAUCCUCCAAGACAGAGUGUGGGACCUGCAUGGACUGUCCCCCAGAAUUGUCCUCCUCUUAUUUUCCAGCUAACAAACUCAGUUGCUAAAUUAUUUAAACAAGGAGACCACUAGACUGAGGUGGCUCUAACGCCAUGGCAGCCUACGUAAGCAAACCGAAACCUAAGCCUGUAAAUGCCUUAAAGUUAGGAAGUCAAACACUAAGGAUAAGCAAUCACCAACAGCCAACUGGGCUUUGAGCUGCAGCCAAUCAAAUAAUGACCUUUCUUUGCUUGGGCACUUUCUCUAUAUAAGUCUUUGCCUGGGAUCCUGUUGGUGGAGCACUCCUAACCACUUCUGGUUUGGCACUGCCCCACUAGAAUUGACUUUCACACAAACGAACUCUUACAGUUUUUGGUAUAACUCAGUUUAUCUUUUAUCCCAGGAAUUGCCUCCUCUGAGUACUGCUAGGUCUCAGGCCGCCCAGGAAAUAGAAAUGACCUCUGUGUGGACCAAGGUGCACUCUCCCGCCCAUCUGGAAGCCCACAGCAUUGAUUAGCUCUAGCUGCCAGACACACAAGGGAGGCCAUCUUGGACCAGCCCCAGUCAAACCACAGGAAGACUUCUGCCUCAUGGGUGACCCCAUGCAAGACCCCGGAGGAACUGCUGACCCCAGGAUCAUUAGCAAAUAAAAUAGUCAUUCUUUCAA